This 24-nucleotide non-coding RNA is filed under the name Arabidopsis thaliana (thale cress). Lineage: Eukaryota; Viridiplantae; Streptophyta; Magnoliopsida; Brassicales; Brassicaceae. The record is from RNAcentral.
AAGCCGGUAUUGUCGGAGGUGCUA